RNAcentral lists this ribosomal RNA (474 nucleotides) under uncultured bacterium. RNAcentral's name for it is "partial 16S ribosomal RNA". It matches the Rfam family "Bacterial small subunit ribosomal RNA", at positions 28 to 507 of the family's 1533-position model. The record is from RNAcentral.
GAUGAACGCUAGCGGCAGGCCUAACACAUGCAAGUCGAGGGAGGAGCUUUCGGGCUUCGACCGGCGUACGGGUGCGUAACGCGUAUACAAUCUGCCUUUCACAUAGGGAUAGCCCGAAGAAAUUUGGAUUAAUACCUAAUGGUAUAUAGAGGUGGCAUCACCUUUAUAUUAAAGCUGAGGCGGUGAAAGAUGAGUAUGCGUUCUAUUAGCUAGUUGGAGAGGUAACGGCUCCCCAAGGCGACGAUAGAUAGGGGUUCUGAGAGGGAUAUCCCCCACACUGGUACUGAGAUACGGACCAGACUCCUACGGGAGGCAGCAGUGAGGAAUAUUGGACAAUGGUCGGAAGACUGAUCCAGCCAUGCCGCGUGCAGGAAGACGGCCUUAUGGGUGGUAAACUGCUUUUGCAGGGGAAGAAUAAGGACUACGCGUAGUUUGAUGACGGUACUCUGAGAAUAAGCAUCGGCUAACUCCGUG